Trifolium pratense (red clover) is the source of this 529-nucleotide long non-coding RNA. RefSeq lists it as uncharacterized. NCBI's taxonomy places the organism in Eukaryota, Viridiplantae, Streptophyta, Magnoliopsida, Fabales, Fabaceae. The record is from RefSeq and is a predicted model, not a curated record. The transcript has 2 exons.
CUAUCAAGCGUACGAGCAAUCAUAUUCGUUUGUCGCUUUAUAAAUUUUAUCACAAAGUUUGGAUUUGACAUCAAAACACGUUUAAUAUUACAAAGUUUUGAUUUAAUGAUAAUUCUAAUUUCAAUAAUUGGGGUUUUCACACUAUAAAGUGAUCAUACAAUUGUCAAAUUUUACAAGCAAACAAAGCAAAUUAUGGCUAAAAUUCUCAAGUUUUUUCAAAUUAUGUUUACUUUUCUUUUUAUAUUUACCAUUGUAAUCGAAUGCCUCCCUGAAUAUAAUCACUUUCAUAAGUGUUAUAAUGACAAUUCUUGCCCUAAAACUAUGUGUAUACCUCCUAGAGUUCCAAAGUGCAUAAGGAAGUCUUGUCGAUGUAUUUAGAAUUGAAUCCCAUCCUCGACAAUUAUAAAAAUGACCAUUAGUGCUACCAUUGUUGAUAAUAAUUGUGCCUUCUCCACUUUUUGAUCAAGUUCAAAAAUAUAUUUGUGGUACUUCUAAAAGUAUAAUUUUAUAUGUAAUUGUAAUGUUGGUA